UACGAAGGGGGCUAGCGUUGCUCGGAAUCACUGGGCGUAAAGGGUGCGUAGGCGGGUCUUUACGUCAGGGGUGAAAUCCUGGAGCUCAACUCCAGAACUGCCUUUGAUACUGAGGAUCUUGAGUCCGGGAGAGGUGAGUGGAACUGCGAGUGUAGAGGUGAAAUUCGUAGAUAUUCGCAAGAACACCAGUGGCGAAGGCGGCUCACUGGCCCGGUACUGACGCUGAGGCACGAAAGCGUGGGGAGCAAACAGG
RNAcentral lists this ribosomal RNA (253 nucleotides) under uncultured bacterium. RNAcentral's name for it is "partial 16S ribosomal RNA". It matches the Rfam family "Bacterial small subunit ribosomal RNA", at positions 524 to 776 of the family's 1533-position model. The record is from RNAcentral.